AUUUAUAAUAAACUUAUAGGUGUUUUACAAACUUAAUAAGGAAAUCGGUUAAAAUCCGAUACAGCCACCUCUACUGUGAAACUGACGAAAAUAUGCAAAGCCACUGGAAUAUAAAAUAUUUCGGGAAGGAUAUGAGUAGGAUGAAGUUAGUCAGGAGACUUGCCUAUAUAAGAUUACAUUU
RNAcentral lists this non-coding RNA (181 nucleotides) under Leptotrichia buccalis. The record is from RNAcentral. Lineage: Bacteria; Fusobacteriati; Fusobacteriota; Fusobacteriia; Fusobacteriales; Leptotrichiaceae.